Long non-coding RNA from Lycium barbarum (goji berry), 613 nucleotides. RefSeq lists it as uncharacterized. NCBI's taxonomy places the organism in Eukaryota, Viridiplantae, Streptophyta, Magnoliopsida, Solanales, Solanaceae. The transcript has 3 exons. The record is from RefSeq and is a predicted model, not a curated record.
UUUUUUUUGUUUUUUUUUUCAUAAGUCAAAAAUGUUUCCAUUACAUACAGUAAACAAAAUGCAAAUACAGAAAAGGAAAUAGUCUAGAAACAUUGAAUUUGGGAAAGUGUACUCCUCUCUCUCACGAUCUUCAUCUUCACUUAUGGGCAAAUGUUGGCCAAGAUCAAAAUGAAAUUUGUUCUCCAUCUUCCGCUAUCGAAGGCUCAGAAUCUAUGGGUGGUGAUGAUUGUGCGAGCAUUUUCCUGCAAUUUCUUCUUGGAUCUCCCGUUGGUCUUCCAUUUGAAGUUGUUGUCUUGAUAUUGGUGUUUCUGUCAUCUGAGUACAGGUUUGGGAUGAUCAUCUGGUGUUAUAUGACUGUCAUCUGGAGGUUCCUUGUCAUCCGGUGGUUCCCUUGGAAUGCUUUCUUCACCUGCCAUAGACUCAACCUCCUGGCUGCUCUCAUGACCUAAGGCAGCAACUCCAUUGUCCCCUUGUUGUUGCUUAUUGUUUUGAGCUUUAGUAACCAAGUUUUUCUCACUUUGGAAAUCAUUUAUAUUUGAUGUUCUAUGUUCGUUAUUUUGCUGCUGUUUCCUUGGUUAUCUCUUGUUGUGCAUCUGUUUCUACCUUACUUCCA